CCUACGGGUGGCAGCAGUGGGGAAUAUUGCACAAUGGGGGAAACCCUGAUGCAGCGACGCCGCGUGAGUGAAGAAGUAAUUCGUUAUGUAAAGCUCUAUCAGCAGGGAAGAGAAUGACGGUAUCUGAGUAAGAAGCCCCGGCUAACUACGUGCCAGCAGCCGCGGUAAGACGUAGGGGGCAAGCGUUAUCCGGAUUUACUGGGUGUAAAGGGAGCGUAGACGGCGGUGCAAGUCUGGAGUGAAAGGCGGGGGCGCAACCCCCGGACUGCACUGGAAACUGUACGGCUGGAGUGCAGGAGAGGCAAGUGGAAUUCCUAGUGUAGCGGUGAAAUGCGUAGAUAUUAGGAGGAACACCAGUGGCGAAGGCGGCUUACUGGACUGUAACUGACGUUGAGGCUCGAAAGCGUGGGGAGCAAACAGGAUUAGAUACCCCAGUAGUC
This 440-nucleotide ribosomal RNA is filed under the name uncultured bacterium. Its description in RNAcentral is "partial 16S ribosomal RNA". It matches the Rfam family "Bacterial small subunit ribosomal RNA", at positions 338 to 795 of the family's 1533-position model. The record is from RNAcentral.